This is a long non-coding RNA of Rhineura floridana, 1016 nucleotides long. RefSeq lists it as uncharacterized. The transcript has 3 exons. The record is from RefSeq and is a predicted model, not a curated record. NCBI's taxonomy places the organism in Eukaryota, Metazoa, Chordata, Lepidosauria, Squamata, Rhineuridae.
GACCACUUAAUGAUUUUUCUGCCUGUUUUAGCAAUUGUAAUGCGGUGUGCUAGAUACCGCAUAGUUUUUAAUAGUGGUGUUACAGGAUUGGGGGUUUGGUUUGUGUUGCUGCGCGCCACCCAAUCUGAGUGGUUUGAGACAGCCAGAGAUUCAGUGGACGCAGGGUUUUGUUUCCUUGGACAGAAGGUCAGCGGAGACUGAUGCUUGUCUAGACUUGGUCAGAAACAGGUGUGUUGCCAUACAAAGGAAUAACUGGCAGAUGAUGUUCUUCCAGGAGCGUAGGCCUUCCCCUGCUGACCUGGCUGGAGGGCAUCUUCUAGGCUGCAUUCCCACUGCACAAAAGUCAGUAGCUCUGCAUCCAGACCAGCAAGACGCAUUAUAACAGUUCAAAGACACAUUCCAGCCAGGCAGAAGUACUUGAGGAGGGUGAGGAGCAAGGCCAUUAUCGGGUGUGGACUGAGAAGGAGGCCGAGUCUGAGGACAGUUCCGAGGGCCAGAUGGAGAGGUCUGGAGGACCACAUUUGGUCUCCGGGCCUGAGGUUCCCCACUUCUGAAAUACAGGAGGAAAGAUGGAAUAAACAAAUGGACAAACAACAUACAGGACUGAACUAAAGAAGAUACCAAAACAAUUCAUUUAUACCUUUUAAAAAAAUUAUAUGUAAUUAUCUGCAUUCCCUAAAAUCUCAGUAUUUUUGUAUCUGUUUAAAUGUGUAUACAUAUCUAUUGACUGGGAUAGACAGUACAGGCCUUUCUUGGUGGUGGCACCCAGACUGUGAAACUCCUCUCCCAAGAGAGGCUUGCCUGCUGCCUCCCCUUUGCUGGCCUUUGGGCAGUUCUACAAGCCUUUGAACUGAUUUGAGUUUUUACUCCUGUUAUUUUGAUUGGUUUUAUUUCGGGGGGUGCGUGUGUUGUUGCUGGAAUUGUUUUAAUGGUUUUCAUGCCCUCUCUUUUAUUAUGUUGUUGUUUGAUGCUGAAUUUGUAAUGUGAUGGUUGUUGACGGGACUCUUCAGACUGAA